RNAcentral lists this RNase P RNA (378 nucleotides) under Deltaproteobacteria bacterium. RNAcentral's name for it is "RNase P RNA component class A". It matches the Rfam family "Bacterial RNase P class A". From Rfam's summary of the family: Ribonuclease P (RNase P) is a ubiquitous endoribonuclease, found in archaea, bacteria and eukarya as well as chloroplasts and mitochondria. Its best characterised activity is the generation of mature 5'-ends of tRNAs by cleaving the 5'-leader elements of precursor-tRNAs. Cellular RNase Ps are ribonucleoproteins. The record is from RNAcentral. Lineage: Bacteria; Pseudomonadati; Myxococcota; Myxococcia.
UCAGGCGGCCGGAUGGCCGCCUCCCGCUCGGCGGGGGGAGGAAAGUCCGGGCUCCACGGGAACACGGUGCCGGGUAACGCCCGGCGGGGGCGACCCCAGGGAAAGUGCCACAGAAAGCAGACCGCCGGCCCGCUUCGCCGGCCGGCAAGGGUGAAAGGGUGCGGUAAGAGCGCACCGCGUCCCCGGCAACGGGGACGGCAGGGCAAACCCCACCGGGAGCAAGACCGAGUAGGGGCGGCACGGGGCUCCGGCCCCGGGCGGGUUUCCGCGCCGCCGCCCGGGUAGGUCGCGCGAGGCGCCCGGCGACGGGCGUCCCAGAUGAAUGGCCAUCCCCCGCCCCGGCGGGGACAGAACCCGGCUUACAGGCCGCCUGGCACC